Molecule: ribosomal RNA, 756 nt
Filed under: Triticum aestivum (bread wheat)
Lineage: Eukaryota; Viridiplantae; Streptophyta; Magnoliopsida; Poales; Poaceae
Description: partial small subunit ribosomal RNA
Source: RNAcentral
AAAAGGGAUUGAAACUGCAAUCGAACAGGUCUUUGGGUAUGCAGGCUAUGGUCAAGGAGCAAAUAUUCAACCUCCUCAAAAUUGGAUUAUGUGACAAAUAAUUUGGCCGAGUGUUUCAACAACUGGAGCCGCAAGCACAAAGGUCUCAUGUUGUUUCAGCUCAUGGACAAGAUCAGGAGAAAGAUUACUGUCAAGUUUGAGAAAAGGAGAAGGGUAGCUAGAAAAUUUCAAGGUUGGCGUAUACUUCCAAGUGUCAUGAAGGAGUUGAAUGACAUAAGCAGGGGGCUGGACAUUGAAUAUGAGAGAAUAGAUGACAUGAUUGCAGAGGUGAGUGAGAGUGUUGCACUAGGUGACAAGCGCCACGUCACUGAUCUAGCAAAUAGGACAUGCACAUGUAGGGCAUUUCAAGUCUCUGGGAAGCCUUGCAAACAUGCAAUUAGCUUUAUUACUGGAAUUAGGGGGGUCACAAUAGAAGACUUCGUUGAUGAUUAUUACAACGUUGCCAAGUUCGCUGCAGCUUAUGCUCCUAUUCUUCCUGGCCUAACUGACAUGUCUCAAUGGCCUAGUAUGAACAAAGAAUUCUUCUUGAAUCCCCCAAUCCUUAGGAGGGCUCCUGGGAGGCCAAAGGUGCAGAGGCACAAAAGUGGUGCUGAGAAUAGCAAGGGAAGGGAAAGAAAGGCCAGCACCAGUGUCCAAUUUGCAAAGCUUAUGGACAUAGAUGGCAAAGCUGCAAAGAUGCUGCUCCUGAAGCACUAG